AAUCGAGGCAGCGAACUGGCCAAACAGCAGCGUCGCGCUUCGUUUCUCUUCUUUCCUCACGAGCGGUCCCCAGCGCCACGUCAUCGUCUUCAAGCCAGGCACGAAGCGUCGGACAGCACACGCACGUAACGCAUAGUCAGUUUCUUCUGUUUACUCCCGAAUUGAUUCCCGGUGAUUUAAGCCACCAUUUAACGAUCCGUUUGUUCCUACUUAAGCUUCACACCCUCCUCUUCAUUUCCCCUCAAACCACACAGACCGAGAGCCUCCAGGCUGCUCGAAUUUGGCCUCGCAAUUCCGCGGUACCGUCGCGGUAAUUCAUCGAUUACGCGACGGCCGUGAGCAAGUCCACGGGACACUUUUCCGGCGGGCGACUGCGCACCAGUAAGAAAGUCCGAACCUAGAACUCAUCAUAGAUUUCAGCUCGUACACACGGACGCCAAAGACCACGCAGAACUCGGUUCACAAACGAUCCCAGCGAGGCAGCGAAGUCAUCUGUUCCCUGUCCCCGUACAUUGUGGUUGUGUUGAUUGCAACGAGUGUUUUCGCGAAGAGUGUACCAACUAGUCCUCUCACCAAGGCAAGUGUCACUUUUUUUUAACUGUCCUGCUGUUUGCUAAAUAUAUUCUAGGAUUUCACUAGUAGUGCAUGUGUAGGAUUAUUUUAUUAUAUACGCUAUGUGUCUUGCUAUGAUUUGAUUUCCCUGUUUCACCGUAAGUAGAGUUUCCUAGUUAUGUGGAUAGAUACGUGGCUGAGAUAUCAUGUCAAUUUUAGAUGAGGUAAAAAGAUAUGUUUUCCAUAAUGAAAACAACUUGGUUCACAAAA
Lolium perenne is the source of this 822-nucleotide non-coding RNA. NCBI's taxonomy places the organism in Eukaryota, Viridiplantae, Streptophyta, Magnoliopsida, Poales, Poaceae. The record is from RefSeq and is a predicted model, not a curated record.